GGAAGGAUCAUUGAAUCUAUUGAAUCCACACGGUAACAUUCUGUAUCGCCGGCAACAGGGGCGCUGCAAAGGCCUUGUGCUUUUGCAGGUCUGUGCCUCUGGCUCCUAUGGGGGUCAAAGGCAGGCUGCCAGACUGGCCUUUUCAGGCCUACUGCUGCAGUUUCCCUGUUGUUGUGAGCACCCAACCCAAUACACACCAAACCAAAACAACUAAAGCUAAAGACUGUCAGCUAUGCUGGCAAUCCUAACAAAAGACAACUCUCAACAACGGAUAUCUUGGCUCUCGCAACGAUGAAGAACGCAGCGAAAUGCGAUACGUAGUGUGAAUUGCAGAAUUCCGUGAAUCAUCGAAUCUUUGAACGCAUAUUGCACCCAAGACUUCGGUCAAGGGUAUGUCUGCCUCAGCGUCGGUUUAUACCCUCACCCCAAUUCACAUAUGUGAACGGUGCACACGAAUCUCCAUUCGGUGCCUGGGCGUGGAUCUGGCUUUCCCAGCGCUGGCUUUGGCUAGAACUGGGUUUGCUGAAGAACAGAGGCUAGAGCUCGGACCCGUCAUGGGCUUCAACUGGAUAGGUAGCACCGGCUUUGCCGACUACACGAAGUUGUGGCCUGUGGUCCUUGCUGGCGGCCAGCAGGAAACGCGCUUUUGUGCGUCUCUAAACAUUCGACCUGAGCUCAGGCAAGGCUACUCCCUGAACUUAAGCAUAUCAUUAAGGGAAGGAAAAGAAAGUAACAACGAUGGCCCUAGUAAUGGCGAACGAACCGGCCAAAGCCCAAUCUGAAAAUCUCCCUUUGGAGAAUUGUAGUCUAUAGAAGUACCCUCUGUAGCGUGAUGAGCCCAAGUCCCCUGGAAAGGGGCGCCAGAGAGGGUGAGAACCCCGUAGGCUCUGACUCGCUGCUCCACGAGGUGCUUUCGGAGAGUCGGGUUGCUUGGGAAUGCAGCCCUAAUUUGGUGGUAAAUCCCACCUAAGGCUAAAUACUGGCGAGAGACCGAUAGCGAACAAGUACCGUGAGGGAAAGAUGAAAAGAACUUUGAAAAGAGAGUUAAAAAGUGCUUGAAAUUGUUGAGGGGGAAGCGAUUGGAGGCUAUAGGUGCGCCUAGGCUUACGCAUCCUUAACGGGCUGCUGCAUGUGCUAGGUGCUGGUCAGCAAGGGUUGGGCUGGAAGGAUAACAGUCGGGGUUGAUACCCGGCCUAUGCUUCCGGCCUGUCCAAGGCGUGAAGACUGCCCUUGUCCUUCGGGAACUGCAGUCUCAAGUUGCUGGCGGAAGGUUUCCAAUCGACCCGUCUUGAAACACGGACCAAGGAGUCUAACAUGUAUGCGAGUUGGUGGGUGGAAAACCCAUAAGCGCAAGUAACCUGACUGGUGGGAUGGCCUGUGCCUGCACCAUCGACCGACCAUGAGCUUCUGCGAAAGGUUUGAGUGCGAGCAUACACGUUGGGACCCGAAAGAUGGUGAACUAUGCCUGAGCAGGGCGAAGCCAGAGGAAACUCUGGUGGAGGCUCGUAGAUGUGCUGACGUGCAAAUCGCUUUUCGGACUUGGGUAUAGGGGCGAAAGACUAAUCGAACCAUCUAGUAGCUGGUUCCCUC
RNAcentral lists this unclassified non-coding RNA (1590 nucleotides) under uncultured Sphaeropleales. Its description in RNAcentral is "sequence contains 18S rRNA gene, ITS1, 5.8S rRNA gene, ITS2, 28S rRNA gene". The stretch from base 666 to 1590 matches the Rfam family "Eukaryotic large subunit ribosomal RNA", at positions 1 to 961 of the family's 3401-position model. The record is from RNAcentral. Lineage: Eukaryota; Viridiplantae; Chlorophyta; Chlorophyceae; Sphaeropleales.